Molecule: small nuclear RNA, 162 nt
Filed under: Parasteatoda tepidariorum (common house spider)
Lineage: Eukaryota; Metazoa; Arthropoda; Arachnida; Araneae; Theridiidae
Description: U1 spliceosomal RNA
Rfam family: U1 spliceosomal RNA
About the family: U1 is a small nuclear RNA (snRNA) component of the spliceosome (involved in pre-mRNA splicing).
Source: RNAcentral
AUACUUACCUGGUACUGGAGUAGCCUUGAUCACCGAGGAGGCUUUCCCGAGCAGAGACCUUUCAUUGCACUGCGACAGGUUGACGCUCGCCACAUCCACAAAUUGUGGUUGCUUGGGGUGCAAAAUUUCUGGUAGUUGGGACUGCGUUCGCGCUGUCCCUAU